This 279-nucleotide ribosomal RNA is filed under the name uncultured archaeon. Its description in RNAcentral is "partial 16S rRNA". It matches the Rfam family "Archaeal small subunit ribosomal RNA", at positions 1047 to 1325 of the family's 1478-position model. The record is from RNAcentral.
GAGACCCACGCCAACAGUUGCCAGCAUGUCCUCCGGGAUGGUGGGGGCACUGUUGGGACCGCCUCUGCUAAAGAGGAGGAAGGAAUGGGCAACGGUAGGUCAGCAUGCCCCGAAUUAUCCGGGUUACACGCGGGCUACAAUGGUCAGGACAAUGGGUAUCGACACCGAGAGGUGAAGGCAAUCUCUUAAACCUGUCCUUAGUUCGGAUUGUGGGCUGCAACGCGCCCACAUGAAGCUGGAAUCCGUAGUAAUCGCGUCUCAAAAUGGCGCGGUGAAUAU